This 450-nucleotide ribosomal RNA is filed under the name uncultured Ambispora. RNAcentral describes it as "SSU rRNA". It matches the Rfam family "Eukaryotic small subunit ribosomal RNA", at positions 569 to 1020 of the family's 1831-position model. The record is from RNAcentral. Lineage: Eukaryota; Fungi; Glomeromycota; Glomeromycetes; Archaeosporales; Ambisporaceae.
AGCAGCCGCGGUAAUUCCAGCUCCAAUAGCGUAUAUUAAAGUUGUUGCAGUUAAAAAGCUCGUAGUUGAAUUUUGGGUCUGGCCGGGCGGUCCGCCCUCCGGGCGAGCACUGUUCCGACGCCGGGCCUAUCCUUCUGGAGAGUCGGCAUGUCCUUUAUUGGGUGUGCCGGGGAACCAGGACCAUUACCUUGAAAAAAUUAGAGUGUUCAAAGCAGGCGUAUGCUCGGAUACAUUAGCAUGGAAUAAUGAAAUAGGACGCGUGGUGCUAUUUUGUUGGUUUCUAGAACCGCCGUAAUGAUUAAUAGGGAUAGUUGGGGGCAUUAGUAUUCAAUUGUCAGAGGUGAAAUUCUUGGAUUUAUUGAAGACUAACUUCUGCGAAAGCAUUUGCCAAGGAUGUUUUCAUUAAUCAAGAACGAAAGUUAGGGGAUCGAAGACGAUCAGAUACCGUCG